AUUGAACGCUGGCGGCAUGCCUUACACAUGCAAGUCGAACGGUAACAGCACUUCGGUGGCUGACGAGUGGCGAACGGGUGAGUAAUACAUCGGAACGUGCCCGAGAGUGGGGGAUAACGCAGCGAAAGCUGUGCUAAUACCGCAUACGAUCUACGGAUGAAAGCAGGGGACCGCAAGGCCUUGCGCUCAUGGAGCGGCCGAUGGCAGAUUAGGUAGUUGGUGGGAUAAAAGCUUACCAAGCCGACGAUCUGUAGCUGGUCUGAGAGGACGACCAGCCACACUGGGACUGAGACACGGCCCAGACUCCUACGGGAGGCAGCAGUGGGGAAUUUUGGACAAUGGGCGAAAGCCUGAUCCAGCCAUGCCGCGUGCAGGAUGAAGGCCUUCGGGUUGUAAACUGCUUUUGUACGGAACGAAAAGGUCUUUUCUAAUAAAGAAGGCUCAUGACGGUACCGUAAGAAUAAGCACCGGCUAACUACGUGCCAGCAGCCGCGGUAAUACGUAGGGUGCAAGCGUUAAUCGGAAUUACUGGGCGUAAAGCGUGCGCAGGCGGUUAUAUAAGACAGAUGUGAAAUCCCCGGGCUCAACCUGGGAACUGCAUUAGUGACUGUAUAGCUAGAGUGCGGCAGAGGGGGAUGGAAUUCCGCGUGUAGCAGUGAAAUGCGUAGAUAUGCGGGGGAACACCGAUGGCGAAGGCAAUCCCCUGGGCCUGCACUGACGCUCAUGCACGAAAGCGUGGGGAGCAAACAGGAUUAGAUACCCUGGUAGUCCACGCCCUAAACGAUGUCAACUGGUUGUUGGGAAUUUACUUUCUCAGUAACGAAGCUAACGCGUGAAGUUGACCGCCUGGGGAGUACGGCCGCAAGGUUAAAACUCAAAGGAAUUGACGGGGACCCGCACAAGCGGUGGAUGAUGUGGUUUAAUUCGAUGCAACGCGAAAAACCUUACCCACCUUUGACAUGUAUGGAAGAUCGCAGAGACGCGAUUGUGCUCGAAAGAGAGCCAUAACACAGGUGCUGCAUGGCUGUCGUCAGCUCGUGUCGUGAGAUG
This 1050-nucleotide ribosomal RNA is filed under the name uncultured bacterium. RNAcentral's name for it is "bacterial SSU rRNA". It matches the Rfam family "Bacterial small subunit ribosomal RNA", at positions 28 to 1074 of the family's 1533-position model. The record is from RNAcentral.